AGAGCACAAGUGGAGAAUGCACACAAAACAUGCUGGCAAAACCCCCGCCCUGACUUGGCAGUGUUUUUAAUCCCCUUGGAACCUUUGUAGAUAUGCCCACAGAGUACUGUGGCUUUGGGUGCACAGCAUUUGCUACACAAUGGAAUUUCUGGAACAAAUUUAUCUUGUUGGUUAUGGAACAACACUACUAAAGUCUGCGCUGCCCAUCCUGUCUGCUGAACAGCCAAAGGUAGUUCUCUGCCUCUGCUCUGGAGAUGGGAUGAGGUACGUGAGAAGCUACUGUGAGAAACAGAAGUGACAAAGCCUGGCAUCUCUUUGCUGCUUUGUUAGAAGUCCCAACCUCUUUAUUCUGUCAACGUGACUUUGAUUUAGCUGAUGCUCUCGAUCACCCAGAGGAUAUAAUUACCAGGAAGCCCACAGUGAUCAGAAGACCAACAAGACCUCUGAUGAACAAUGAUCUGCAUUUAGGAGAUGCGCUUGGUGGCGGUGACAUCCCAAGACAACCGUUAUACCCACCUCUUCCGCCGCGACCAGGAAGCCAUAGUAAUACUGGUAAGAAUAUUUUCUCCUCAGAAAAUCUAGCACUAGGAACUGUUCAGAGAAGUUAUUUUGAACACUUUACUCUCUUAUUUCUUCAUGUUAUUCAUAUAUUCAUAUUCUUCAUUAAUUAUUUAUAUUUUUUUUUAUCAUCCCUUCCUGAUAUUUCCCUUUUAUUUUUCUUCUUCUUCUUCUUCUUCUUCCUCUUCCUCUUCUUCCUCUUCUUCUUCUUCUUCUUCUUCCUUUUCUUCUUCUACUUCUUCUUCUUCCUCUUCUUCUUCCUCUUCCUCUUCUUCCUCUUCUUCUUCUUCUUCUUCUUCUUCUUCUUCUUCUUCUUCUUCUUCUUCCUCUUCUUCUUCUUCUUCUUCGUCUUCUUCUUCUUCUUCUUAUUAUUAUUAUUAUUUUCACUAUUCUUGACCCAGUGUUUGGAAAGAUUUUCUGAGAUUUUGUUCUGGCACUAUAAGACUUUUCUGCCUCCCCUCCCAAAUCAAAGGACAUUGACUUCUAACUGGCAUGAGACUAAUAUUUAUCUUGUUGCUCCUUUUAUUUUGGGUAUGUAUACACAGAACCGUGCUAAGGUUCAAAUUUGACAUCUGUCUACAUGAAGUGGAUAAGGCUAUGUACAAAUCCAUACUGAGAGAUGGGUCUGAGAAGGCUCUAGGGUAUACAGCAGGUGGGACAGGGGAUAUGGAUUUAAGAUUCCUUUCAACUGUUAUCCCAGACAUACACUUAAAUACAAUGGAGGUGAUACAUCUAUCCUAGCUAUUGCCAUGUAUCUCAUGUUUACUUCUGGUAUGACUGUAGUGAUGCUCUGUGGAUAUGCCCUUCUGGAGCCCUUCCUAGAAGGGACCCACUGAUUUCCUGCUACAAGAGCUGCUGGGAUUUGAGUUGUCCUUACUAUAUUAGGAUCCAUUCUAUUGAAGCUCCAGGUUCUCACAUCCCAUGAGUGUUUACUUCUAUGAAUAGAACUGGGCCAGUUAAUGAGUGGGGCUUUUGCAUAUUGUAUUUAGGACCCUAAAGUGGCUCCAAGAUUCGGACUCACUCCAAAUACAGAACAAAUUUAACAUAUUUACAGACAUACAUGUCUUCAUGCUCAGAAUGGGUAGACAACAACAGUACUUUAGCUUCCAGUGAAUGUAAAUGGGUAACUGCUUCUGUAAGACAGCUGCCAUACGGACACCGGGAUUUCAAAGGUCCCUCACCUUUCCCCAGAACUAUUAAAAAAAAGGCAGAGAAUGGAACUGAAGAGGUUACCACUGUUCAGAUAAUUUUGCAACAGAAGUCCUAAUUUUUAUCUUGCAGGAGGAUUUAACGACUACGAUCUUGUUGAUGGGAAGCCUUUACCACCACACAUGGCUGGUAGUAUUUGAUGAUUCCCGUUGCAUUUUCUUGUUAAUAUUUAUAAAUCAGAGCUGACUGGUUUUGCUUUAGCACAGAUGUUUAUUACUGAAGGUGUAGGAUAAGACUCUGCUAUUUUUAUUUUGACUAGUCAUCUUUCUCCAUGGCUUUUAGCACAAAGCUUUAGCUCCUUUGAAACAUAUCCCUAAAGACCUUGCAAUGUUAAGCCAGAACCUUGCAG
RNAcentral lists this long non-coding RNA (2116 nucleotides) under Coturnix japonica (Japanese quail). Its description in RNAcentral is "lncRNA (ENSCJPG00005018244.1)". Lineage: Eukaryota; Metazoa; Chordata; Aves; Galliformes; Phasianidae. The record is from RNAcentral.